UACGGAGGGUGCAAGCGUUAUCCGGAUUCACUGGGUUUAAAGGGUGCGUAGGAGGGUUGGUAAGUCAGUGGUGAAAUCUCCGAGCUUAACUUGGAAACUGCCGUUGAUACUAUCAAUCUUGAAUAUCGUGGAGGUGAGCGGAAUAUGUCAUGUAGCGGUGAAAUGCUUAGAUAAGACAUAGAACACCAAUUGCGAAGGCAGCUCGCUACACGAAUAUUGACUCUGAGGCACGAAAGCGUGGGGAUCAAACAGG
RNAcentral lists this ribosomal RNA (253 nucleotides) under uncultured bacterium. RNAcentral describes it as "partial 16S ribosomal RNA". It matches the Rfam family "Bacterial small subunit ribosomal RNA", at positions 524 to 776 of the family's 1533-position model. The record is from RNAcentral.